AAUUCGAUGCAACGCGUAAAACCUUACUACCCUUGACAUGUCCGGAAUCCCGAAGAGAUUUGGGAGUGCUCGCAAGAGAACCGGAACACAGGUGCUGCAUGGCUGUCGUCAGCUCGUGUCGUGAGAUGUUGGGUUAAGUCCCGCAACGAGCGCAACCCUUGUCAUUAGUUGCCAUCAUUUGGUUGGGCACUCUAAUGAGACUGCCGGUGACAAACCGGAGGAAGGUGGGGAUGACGUCAAGUCCUCAUGGCCCUUAUGGGUAGGGCUUCACACGUCAUACAAUGGUCGGUACAGAGGGUUGCCAACCCGCGAGGGGGAGCUAAUCCCACAAAGCCGAUCGUAGUCCGGAUCGCAGUCUGCAACUCGACUGCGUGAAGUCGGAAUCGCUAGUAAUCGUGGAUCAGCAUGUCACGGUGAAUACGUUCCCGGGUCUU
Molecule: ribosomal RNA, 434 nt
Filed under: uncultured Rhodocyclaceae bacterium
Lineage: Bacteria; Pseudomonadati; Pseudomonadota; Betaproteobacteria; Rhodocyclales; Rhodocyclaceae
Description: bacterial SSU rRNA
Rfam family: Bacterial small subunit ribosomal RNA
Source: RNAcentral